UCUUAUCAAGAGAGGUGGAGGGAUAGGGCCCGAUGAAACCCGGCAACCAGUUAGUAAUAACAUGGUGCCAAUUCCUGCAAAAUAUCUAUAUAUUUUGCGAGAUAAGA
Molecule: non-coding RNA, 107 nt
Filed under: uncultured Clostridium sp.
Lineage: Bacteria; Bacillati; Bacillota; Clostridia; Eubacteriales; Clostridiaceae
Description: SAM riboswitch (S box leader)
Rfam family: SAM riboswitch aptamer (S box leader)
About the family: The SAM riboswitch is found upstream of a number of genes which code for proteins involved in methionine or cysteine biosynthesis in Gram-positive bacteria.
Source: RNAcentral